CUACCAUGAAGUCGUCAGCUAGGGCUCGCUACUGUCAUCUCAAGGCUCAACUGGAAGAAGACCUACUUCCAAGCUCACUCACAUUGCUCUUAAACUGGACUCAGAUCCUCUCUGGCUGUUGCUUGUGAACCUCAUUUCCUUCCCACAUGGGCCUUUCCAUAAGGCAAUUCCUAGACUACUUCUUCCUCAGAAUAGGUAUCUUUAUAAUUCCAUUCAAGCUAAGGCCCAAAGAAAAUAGGCCAUUCAACUCCAGUGCUGCAAACAGUGAGUUUUGGCAUGGGAACAAGGCGGAUGGCAGGAAGGCAGGAAACCACAUGUUUUCCUGGGACAUGGGGCUGCCUUUGCCAAGGAAUAGCUUCCUGAUGACCUACUCUUGUUCCUGCCCCCGGGCUAAGCUUCAAGUCUUCUUGACAUUCUGACCUAAACUCUACUUUUCAGUGCUGGUGAGAGAGAUGAAUGUAGACCAAGAACUCCUCCUGUGAGGGCAAAUAAGCUUCUUUCUACAACAUUCAGCCUUAGAAGACAAGAUAUUUGCUGAUCUUGUUUUUCUUUUAAUAAAGGAAUGUGACCUUUUAA
Molecule: long non-coding RNA, 576 nt
Organism: Pan troglodytes (chimpanzee)
Lineage: Eukaryota; Metazoa; Chordata; Mammalia; Primates; Hominidae
Exons: 2
Source: RefSeq, a predicted model, not a curated record